UGUUAAAUCGUUCUUAAAUUUUCUGAUACGUUAGAUAUGAAUGAUUGUCUUCCAGCCUGGUUUUGAUACAACUUUCUCUCUUGCAGAUGCGAAUUUCGCCUCUUAGUGUCAUUCAUUCAAAAGGUUCUCACAAUUGUAUAAGCACGUGGCAUAGUAGCAACUACAAAAAAAGGCCACCAGAAGGGGCACCAGAUAAUUAUAAUUCUUGUUCUAGUGUAUGCAUGAUACAGACUCUCCAUGGCAUAUACAUCAGAACAAUCUCAUAUAAAUCAAGGAAAAGAAAAUAAGCUGACAAAAGGAAUUGAAAAAACAGAUCGGAUACGGAGUAUCAUUGACGAUGGAAGAAAUGGCAAAGAAAACUACACUUGUUUAUUGGAGAAAUAAAAGAAAAAGGCUGGAUUAUACUUGUCCGUGAUUUACNNNNNNNNNNNNNNNNNNNNNNNNNNNNNNNNNNNNNNNNNNNNNNNNNNNNNNNNNNNNNNNNNNNNNNNNNNNNNNNNNNNNNNNNNNNNNNNNNNNNGGUUUCCGGAAUGGUCCGGAAACGAAGAUUGAUAUAUAGCAUGACCUCAUUUGAUUACCGGAAGGUUUUCGGAGUUACCGGGAAUGUGCCGGGAAUGACGAAUGGGUUCCGGGAGUUCACCGGGGGGGGCAACCCACCCCGGGGAAGCCCAUAGGCUUUGGGGAGACACACCAGCCAUUAAUGGGCUGGUGGGACAGCCCCAAGGGGGCCUAUGCGCCAAGAAAAGGAAAUCAAAGGAAAAGAAAAAAAANNNNNNNNNNNNNNNNNNNNNNNNNNNNNNNNNNNNNNNNNNNNNNNNNNNNNNNNNNNNNNNNNNNNNNNNNNNNNNNNNNNNNNNNNNNNNNNNNNNNNNNNNNNNNNNNNNNNNNNNNNNNNNNNNNNNNNNNNNNNNNNNNNNNNNNNNNNNNNNNNNNNNNNNNNNNNNNNNNNNNNNNNNNNNNNNNNNNNNNNNNNNNNNNNNNNNNNNNNNNNNNNNNNNNNNNNNNNNNNNNNNNNNNNNNNNNNNNNNNNNNNNNNNNNNNNNNNNNNNNNNNNNNNNAGGGCAGAUUUGAGACGAUUUUAUCACGGUUGCCCGACCACAUACCUCCAUAGUUUUUCCUCUAGAUCGCGUUUCUGCGGAGCUCGGGCGGAGCCCUUCUGAGACGAGAUCAUAACCAACCUCCGGAGCGCCGUCACACUGCCGGAGAACUCUUCUACCUCUCCGUCUCUCUUGCUGGAUCAAGAAGGCCGAGAUCAUCGUCGAGCUGUACGUGUGCUGAACGCGGAGGUGCCAUCCGUUCGGUACUAGAUCGUGUGACUGAUCGCGGGAUUGUUCGCGGGGCGGAUCGAGGGACGUGAGGACGUUCCACUACAUCAACCGCGUUCUCUAACGCUUCUGCUAUUCGAUCUACAAGGGUACGUAGAUCACUCAUCCCCUCUCGUAGAUGGACAUAACCAUGAUAGGUCUUCGUGCGCGUAGGAAAGUUUUGUUUCCCAUGCGACGUUCCCCAACAUAUGCGCCAUAGGAAGAAAAAUCAAAGAGAAAAGAAAAAAAAAGUGGUGGUGGGAAAAGGGGGAAGGACUCCUCCUUCCAAACCUAGUUGGACUCGGUUUGGAAUGGGAGGGUUCCCCCCUUAGGUUCGGCCGACCCCCUUGGGAUUCCUUGGACCCCAAGGCAAGGCUCCCCCCUCCUCCCCCUAUAUAUACGGAGGUUUUAGGGCUGAUUUGACACGACUUUGCCACGGCAGCCCGACCACAUAUCUCCAUGGUUUUAACUCUAGAUCGCGUUUCUGCGGAGCUCGGGCGGAGCCCUGCUGAGACAAGAUCAUCACCAACCUCUGGAGCGCCGUCACGCUGCCGGAGAACUCUUCUACCUCUCCGUCUCUCUUGCUGGAUCAAGAAGGCCAAGAUCAUUGUCGAGCUGUACGUGUGCUGAACGCGGAGGUGCCGUCCGUUCGGCACUAGAUCGUGGGACUGAUCGCGGGACGGUUCGCGGGGCGGAUCAAGGGAUGUGAGGAUGUUCCACUACAUCAACCGCGUUCACUAACGCUUCUGCUGUACGGUCUACAAGGGUACGUAGAUCAACCAUCCCCUCUCGUAAAUGGACAUCACCAUGAUAGGUCUUCGUGCGCGUAGGAAAUUUUUUGUUUCCCAUGCAAUGUUCCCCAACACCAGGCAACCCGACAAUGACAUUGAUGUGUACGUCAGGCCAUUAGUUGAUGAACUUUUAUGGCUAUGGAAUGGAAAUGGUGUACAUGUGUGGGAUGAGAACGAACAGGAGGAAUUUGACCUACAUGCAUUGUUGUUCGUAACCAUCACCGAUUGGCCUGCUCUCAGAAACCUUUCAGGACAGACAAACAAGGGAUACAACGCAUGCACACACUGUUUAGAUGACACUAAUAGUACAUAUUUGGACAAAUGCAGGAAGAAUGUGUACAUGGGGCAUCGUCGAGUUCUUCCGACCAACCAUCAAUGUCGAAAGAAAGUAAAGCAUUUCAAAGGUGAGGCAGAUCAAGGGUCUUGGGGGACUAUCUGUUCCAAAUGACGAUGCAGGACACGCACCCAUGUGGAAGAAGAAAUCUAUAUUUUUGGACCUACCCUAUUGGAAAUACCUAGAGGUCUGCUCUGCAAUCGACGUGAUGCACGUGACGAAGAAUCUUUGCGUGAACCUUCUAGGCUUCUUGGGAGUGUAUGGGAAGACAAAAGAUGCACCGGCGGCGCGGGAGGAACAUCAACGUGUGCAUGAAAAAGAUGGCAUGCAUCCGGAGCAGUAUGAAGGUCCUGCCAGCUACGCUCUUACCAAAGAAAAGAAGGAAAUCUUCUUUGAAUGUCUGCUCAGUAUGAAGGUCCCGUAUGGCUUCUCCUCGAAUAUAAAGGGAAUAAUAAAUAUGGCAAUGAAAAAGUUCCAGACACUAUAAGAAAAAUGCUCAAUUAUGACCAAAAAUAAUGACGGCGGUUUAAUUGGUCAUUGAUCCAUGACCAAAAUUCCAAAAUUAGUCAUGGCAAGUCUAAGAGGGACCAAAGCCCAUAAUGUUAUGACCUUUUGUGUCCAUUAGGUCAUGAUACUAUUGCACAAAUUGGUCAUUAAGUGCCACCGAUUGAAAAAAAGGGAAAAUGUGAUAGAGGUGUGUUGGAUGAGGGGAGGGUUUUGAAGCGUUGGAUGUAGGAGGAGUGGAUGGCCACGAUCUCUUUCAAGGGAGUGAUCUGUGGCCUCGCAUGUGAUAGGCUGGCUGCCUAAACUGAAAAGAAACGAGAAAAAAAAGUGAAAGACAAUCUCUCUCUUGGCGAUCCCCAUCAUGCCAAGGACGACCGACGGUACGACAAAUCUCCAAAAAGGCGAGAAACAUUACAACACACUAGACAUCUGAAGCUCCAUACUAAAUUAAUUUCAACAUUUUUAUUUAGUUUCGUACUAUAUUUAUAUUAAACUUGGUUUCUAGAGCAAGGCCUAAGUUGGUUCGGGAACGUCAAUUACUUUAAUGGUUUUACUUAUCUAGAGCAAGGCAUGAUCGGCGUGACAUGGUGUCUCUAUCGUCGGAUCUAGAAGAGAUGGAUGACUAUGAUCGAUCAGAUGGGGCCAAUCUGUGGGAACAAUGCAUCGACCAAAGAAAGUAAAUAAUAAUAAAAAUAAAUAAAUAAAUAAGUGAGGUAAAGCCUUUUUUGGAUAAAGUGAGUUAAAGUUAGGCUCAUGCAUCGUCGAGAGGUUUGGAUCAGCCUGCGAACGAUUUCGUUUGGUUUUCAGUUUCACAGCGCGCGAAUAAUAAAUAAAGAAGACCAUCUUUAAAAAAAUAAAAAAUAAACAAAGGGGACCACUUCUCGCCGCACCAAUCCCACUGACCCACCAAUCCUUUCUCUUUCUCGUCUCUCCCUCUCCCCAAACCACUUCUCGCCGCAGCCGCCGCCACCCCCUACGGUGCCCGAUCCCGCCCGAUUCCAGCAUCCUCUGGCGGCGCCCAGCACACCACCGUGUCCCCCUCUCAAUGCUCCUUCCUCCCAUCGGGUAAGAUCCGACGCGCGUGUCCUCCAGUGGCCAAUCGUGACCCUGCCCACCAGCUAGGGUUUGUGCUAGCACGUCGCCGGCGUGGCUUCGGCCUUGCUCCGGCGACUCAAGUGAGUCCUCCACUCCUCCUCGUCACAUACCCCAUCUCUUCCUCACAUCAUUUCGUCUCCCUUGCAGAUCGAGCGUACCGUCGCCGCUCGAGCAACGGGGGGCCAUGGAUGGGAAGGCUUCUCCUCCCUUGUCCCGAUGUCGUGAAUGACACAUCUCCUCCACUAUCCCAUGGAGACGGAGCUCCUUCUCCCACAUCACGCAUGGAGCCUCCCUCCCAGUGCCUGAAGCUCUAGUGGGUAUGAAUCCCCCCUGCUGUCUUUCUACUACAACUUCUCUUCUUCUCCUCUUGAUGUGUGCGUGUACUGUGCCAGGUAAAGGAAUUCAAGGCCAUGGGCGGAGAGAGAGGAGCUGCUCCUAGUACAGGACGCAAUGGAAGGUGGUCCUUUCUUGUUCUGUCUUUUUAAGUUUUCUAUUUCUCUUCCCGAUCGAUAAAUGUUAAAGGCUCUAUUUUGUGCAGGUGUUGCCCUGAUGAGGAGAAACUAUUGUUGCAGGAAACCAUUGAUGAUUGCUCCAAUUGGUGGAUUCGGUUCACCAAAUAUGAACCUAUUUCUGCAUACCAAUAUUUCAUGUUCUUUUGCAGAUCCCUAGUUCCUUCAUCCAGUUUCCAAUCCAUGCAUCUCUCAAAAAGGAAUUUCCCGACCCGUGUAGAUUAUUGUUUUAUGAGUUCUACUACAAUGGAAGUUUUAUGCUAUUUGGCUAUGCUCCAGUUACUAGGAAACUUCUAGGAACUGCACAUGAAUUAAUACAAACCUGUACAGAUAAUGAACAUAAACUUUUAGAUUGCUGCUACUUAUUCUAAGUGUAAAGGAUGUCCGGUCAACUUGGUAUUUUUAACAAAAACAGUUCAUCAACAAGCUAUAUUAGAUAUCAAUCCAAAUUAAAAUGAUUUAACAGAUAGACAAUUUAAUAAAAUCUGCUUGCCUGCUAUUUAUAUACAUAACUAUUCCACAAUGGCAAUACUUCAUUGUGUGUAUGAACAUGCACAUAUUAUAAGUGUAGUUGGAGAAAAUAGUUGAUCGUUGCUCUGUUUCUACAACUCUGCCCGUGAUGGAGCAUAUGCGUGCAUCUAUGUUUUUUUUAAAUAAAAUAAGAGAAGAUACAACAGUGGGCUUGAGGCCAAGCUGGUGGCGUAGAAGUCCUUGUAUCUCUUGUCCUUAUACGCUGCUGGUGUGUAAACAUAGCAUGAAAAAACUGCAUUACAAUUUUAGGAAUUUAAGAACAAAGGAAAUUAAACUUAGAAAAAAAAUGACUGGUACUUCCUAUGAACCAAGGCAAUGACUGGUACUUCCUAUGAACCAAGGCAAUGACUUCUGGUGGCAUAUUGCCUCCUUCGAGAUCAUAUAGCACCAGUCAUUUUCAGUUGACACUAUUUCAAUUGCCUGCAUUUUCAUCACAUGCAAUUCAUCGUCUAUUUUUAAUUGACACUAUUUCAGUCCCUUGGUGCUGGAUGAACAACUAUUUUCAUGUGUGAACCAGUUGCAUCUUGAUGGAAUGUAAACAUGAUUAUUGCAAGUACAUCAUUUUUUACCUCUCUAAAAUUGCUGGCACUUCUGGGGCUUUAACAUCAAUUUAUGUGAACUCCGGAUCUUGUACUAUUUUUUAGGAGAUUUGGAUGGUAAUUUGGAUAUCUAUAAUUUUACUUGGAACAAGGUGAGUUUGGUCCAGGCAUGGCCUGGUUCUAUGUCUUUUAUUGUCAACUCUCAAAUUUAUUUUGGUAUAUGAAAUCAAAUAUCGAUAUGCUACAUAUUUAGUCCACUUAAAAACUACAUUCGUAUGACUUUGUUUUUUAUUUUAUUUUUCGUUAUUAAAGUAGAUUUGUGGUUCGGAAGUUUGGAGCUAUUUUAUAUGAUGUAUCUAUUAGAACAUUAGAUGUUGAUUUCGGCAUUAGACACUUAGGAUCAAACUUGCCCAGGCUCCAGAAAAUUUCUCGCUCCGCCACUGAUCUCUAUUUAAAUAGAUAGUGUUAACCAUCUUCCUGUAGAGUAUGAAUAUCCAUUAUCUUUGUCGCGUAAGUGUCCUGCAAAUAUUAUAUUUUUCCUCUCUGACAUGAUUGAAUACUCACAGGAUGUCGCUGUUACGUGUUCCUUUAUAACAUCCUUUUUGUCUUCUAACUUUUAGAGGCUACUCCUUUACCAUAACUUUGGCCUAUCUCUAUUAUCUUUUUAUCCACUCCCAUUUACCUUUUUAGAACAAAAUGGUUGGGUGGCAGCAUGAUCUUCGGAUAAACAAUAAAUAACACUAAAUCACUUAGCAAAAAUAAACAAUAAAUACAAAUUACUUUUUUAUUCUAGUUUGCUUUAAGUCGUGUUUCUGUGAACAAAAAAAAUAACUUAAAAAAGAAGGUAGCCGGGUCAGGCAACAACUAGUUGAAGGCUGAAAGAUUGCAUGUAAUAUUCACAUUAUUUUUUCCCUUUGAUAUUAUUUUGUGUACGUUUUGUUCAUUUUGGAUUUGUCUUCUAUCUUGUGUGCAGGUUGCUGCUUGCUUGGGGGGAGAUAAGCAUGGCCUGGAGAUAAGGAAUCAAGGCGACAAGGACAGAGAGCGGGAGAGGAGCAUAGCCAGAUCCAACAUGCUUGGAUAAUUUCUUCUACAUUACUCCAACAAAUUCAGGACCGGCCCAGGUUGCUACUGUAGUUAAGUCAAAUGAAAUAUUAGUAUUAUGCAUCUAUAUAAGUUAGGACCGGCCCUGGGUGCGACCUCCAAGCAGUCCAAUGAUGGUAUGUGAUGCAACUUGCUGUCGUUGUUUUGAUGAAACUUGUCAGGUUCCCAUAUUUCUUACCAUGCUUAUCACAUCAGCCUUUGCUGCCGUUGUUCUUAUAAGCUGCAUAUGGAUGCCGGGAUGUGAUAUUUCAAUGGUUUUAGCUUCCUUGCUUAUGUUAUGUUUCCGCCACUUCAUGAGGCCUGUAAGAAGCCUUAUAUUUUCAGCCUGAACAGAAAUGUUCUAUAUUUAUAAAUAUGUCUUGUUGUACCUUCUUCACAUACUUAUCUGGGAAAUCUUAGAACCAAGUCAGCGACUAUUUUAUGUUCUUUUCUGGCAGUAACUAGUGGCUAGAGUAAAAUGUACAUUGAAUCUGACAUGAAACUGUAGAAAAGACGAUGUUGUUUGUAGUUAAUGUUAAUUUUUUUUCCUGUUUGUUGUAAUAUAUCUGGAAACUAUUUCAGGAAACAUUACACAAGCAUAAAGCCAGUGAAAAUGGCAAUCAAAGUGUUGAAGCUUUGGAGGACCAUCUGAUUGAUACGCAAGAAAAGGUCAAACAAUUUGGCAGUGCAGAUACCAAGAAGAGCUUAUUUAGGAAUUGGCCAUUGAUGUCUUCCAUAAAUGAUGUGCCCUUGUUAGGCGUUGUACCUUAAUGUGUGGAGUCGGUGGAUGAUGUAUUGUAUUUAUGUGAUAUGCUAUUGAAAUAAAAAAUACAUUUUAUUUGCAAUCUUUUAUUCUGUUGUACUUAUUUUUAAUGGUCCUAUCCUGAGAUAUGCGUGCUUCUAACAAAAAAAUGCUUCAACCCAAACAAAUUAGACAUUUUCAAUAGUAAAAUAGGUAUUGGGCCAGAAUAUAAAAUUUAUGAUGAUUCCAUUUGGUCACUAGCAAUGCCACGUCAGCUUGGCCACGUCAGAUCCUACGUGGCUCACACAAAUUGGUAAUGACCAAACCAAAAUUUUGGCCGGUAGAGACCUACGACCAAAAUUUUGGAAAGGUCAUGUUUUUUCAUUCUUGACGGCCAACUGUUGACGUUGUAAAUCUGGUCAAAAAAAGGUCAAUAAACGACAUCAAUGAUGAAUCAAUGACCAAUAUAGGGAGUCAUAACUGACCUUAUUUCUUGUAGUGAGAACCUAAAUUCUCAUGACUGCCACGUGAUUAUGACACAACUGCUUCCGGUUGCAUUGAGGGGGGCUUCUACCGAAAAACGUUUGAUUAGCCAUUGUGAAGCUAUGUGCAUUCCUCAAUGCAAUCUCUCAGAACGUGAUCGAUCCUGUAAUCCUGCCAAGGUUACUGAGUGAUUUGGUGUAAUGUCUUGUUAGUUUCGAGCUGGUGUUCCCACUAUCCUUCUUCAAUAUCAUGACACACGUCUUAGUUCAUCUAGUCGACGAGAUUCUCGUUCUGGGCCGUGUAUUUCUACACAAUAUGUUCCCCUUUGAGAGGUUCAUGGGAGUCUUAAAGAAAUAUGUUCGCAACCAUGCUAAGCCAGAAGCAAGCAUUUCCAUGGGCCAUCAAACAGAGGAUGUCAUUGGGUUUUGUGUUGACUUCAUUCCUGACAUUAAGAAGAUUGGUCUCCCUCAAUCGCGAUAUGAGGGGAGACUGAAUGGAAAAGGCACACUAGGAGCAGACUCAAUAAUAAAUAAGGACGGGCAUUCUUGGUCUCAAGCACACUACACAGUUCUACAGAAUUCUACCUUGGUGACCCCGUAUGUCGAUGAACACAAGAAUAUUCUAAGCUCCAUACACCCGGAGUAGUGUGAUGACUGGAUUACAUUUGAACACAUCAGGUCUUUCGGCAGUUGGUUGCAAAAAGUCUCAUGUGUGACAACACUGUUUCUGAUGAGCUAUACUCGUUGGCCAGGGGACCAUCUGCGACUAUAUUGACUUACCAAGGGUACGAGAUAAAUGGGAAUACAUUUUACACGCUCACUCAAGAUCAAAAGAGCACCCACCAAAACAGCGGUGUCCGCUUUGAUGCAGCAACCAAGAGGGGAAAGGACACAUAUUAUGGUUACAUAGUGGACAUAUGGGAACUUGACUAUGGAUAUGAUUUGAAGGUCCCUUUGUUUCAUUGCAAAGGGGUCAAUCUGUCAGGAGGUGGGGUACAGAUAGACCCACAGUACGGAAUGACAACAGUUGAUCUAAACAGUACAGAUAGACCCACAGUACGGAAUGACCCACAUAGAAAACAUGCUAUGUGGGUGGAAUGAUGGUACCAUGCCAACUUUCAACCUUUUCAGAGUUCAUUUGUAGUGCUUUUCAAUUUAAGGGUCAUUUAGCUCAAAACAAUCGGUAAAUGCAUGAAAAAUACCAAAUGAAGUCAGAAAUAAUUGAAAAUUGAUGAUGUGUCUUUGAAUGGUGCAUUUUGAACACACAAAAAGUCUGGAGUUCAAAUAAGUCAAAAAAUUAAAUUCAUUUGUAACACAUAAUUUUCAUAUGAAAGCGUCAUACUUCGAAAGAGAUUGUCCGUUCUGUACACGAAGUGCAUCCAGUUUUUUUCGCAACCCUCUCAACAUUUUAGCACAUGAUAUGUGGAUGAAAUGAUGAUACCAUGCCAACUUUCAGCAUUUUCACAGUUCAUUUGUAGUGCUUUUGAAUUUAAGGGUGAUUUAGCUCAAAAUAAUCAGUAAAUGCAUGAAAAAUACGAAAUGAAGUGAGAAAUAGUUGAAAAUUGAUGAUGCCACUUUUAAUGGUGCAUUUUGAACACACAAAAAUUCUCGAGUUCAAAUAAGUUCAAAAAAAUGAAAUCCCUUUGUAACAGAUGAGUUUUCGUAUGAAACCCUAAUACUUCGAAAGAGAUUGUAUAUUUUGUACAUGAUGUGCAUCCAGUUUUUGCCACAACCCUCUCAACUUUUUAACACAUGCUAUGUGCGUGAAAUGAUUAUACCAUGCGAGCUUUCAACAUUUUCAGAGUUCAUUUGUAGUGCUUUUCAAUUUAAGGGUCAUUUGGCUAAAAAAACCUAGUAAUUGUAUGAAAAAUAUCUAAUGGGCCGAUGGGCCUUUGUCCCGAUUCUAGCCACCAACCGGUAUAAAGUACUAUUCUUCCCGCCCUUUUGGGCCAGUGGAAGUGUGGCUUUGAUCCCGGUUGAUGCCACCAUCCGAAACCAAAGAUUUCACAUAUAGUGCGGGAGUUGUUGAAAUUGACCUUUAGUCCCGGUUGGUGUAACCACCUAGGACUAAAGGUAUGCUUUGGUCCCGAGUUGAGCCACCAACUGGAACAAAGGUGUUCAUAUAUUGCGGGAGUUGUCGAAAUUUUCACGAACUUCGACGAGCCCGUCGUCGUCGCCGUCGCACCCGAGCCCGUCGCCGCCGGCCUGCGCCUCCGCCAUGAGCCCGUCGUCACCGUCGCCAUCGCUGACGAGCCCGUCAUCGCCCCGAGCUCAUCGCCGUCGCCGUCGCUCCUGAGCACGUCGUCGUUGCCGUCGCCGUCGCCGUCGCCCCCUAGCCCAUCGUCGUCGCCGUCGCUGUCGCCCCCGAGCCCAUCGCCGUCGCCGUCCCCUUCGCCCCCGAGCCCGUCGCCGUCGUUGUCGUUGCCCGUCGCUACCCGUCGUCGUUGUUGUCGUCAUUGCCGUAGCCCCGAGCCCAUCGCCGUCGUCGUAGUCGUCUGUCGCCCAUCGUUGUUCCAAAGCCCGCCGUCGUCGCUCAUCGACGCACCGGUAGCACGUUCAUCAAUCUCCAUCUCCCUAUUUGCGAAUCCAUGUGUGUGAGAAGACGUAGUCUAAUUCCUAAUCCAUGUGUGUGUAUUUCAGUUGUAUUAGAAUAUGUUGGGUACAUUUUUGAACUCCCCAAUGUGACACAAGUUAUAAAAAUUAUGAAAAUAUAUAGAUUAGAUUCAGUCACAAUAGCAAAGAAAGUUAUAAAAAUUAUAAAAAUAUUUAGAUUAGAUUAAGUUAAAAAUUAAGUUUUUAUGUUAAUAUUUGGGAUUAUGUAUAACGGGCUUCCCCCACUUUGUAAUAUUUCCAGAAACAAUGGAUAUUCCAAGAGACAUGGAAAAAGAACAAAUUUUGGGGGAGAUAAUCCAGGCCGACGGUAGUAAUGUUGAAUUUUUGCUCAGCGACAUUGGUGACUACCGAAUCCCGGAGGAAGGACAUUAUCAUGAUGCCUUCGGUGAUUGAACAGUGGAGGAGGAAGGACAUUAUCACGAUGGCUUCGGUGACUACCGAAUCCCGGAGGAAGGAGACCAUGAUGACGGCUCCGGUGACCGAACGAAGGAGGGACCUAUUGAAAAGUACGGAUCGAGCCAAACUUUAGUAACGAGACAAGGCCCGACGAGAAGGUUGGCCAAGGAUAAAAUAUCAUGAUCACAGAACUGUCGAACGAUGGCCUACCUAUUGAACCCAAGUGGACCAGGGACGCAUUUUCUGCUCAGUGCGGAGCUAUUGUCAGGGACAACAUCCCGAUCAGCAUCAAGCAAUGGAAUAAACCUAAGGGCGACAACGUCCCUGAAGGUGAUUAUGUCACCGAUAGGCUGAAAGAUGAUCUUUGGACCGCGUUCAAGGAAAAUUUCAUCCUACAGCCAAAGGAGGAUCUGAAUAAGCCAGUUAUUGAGCCACUGGUCAAGGCGUGUUCUCUUAAGAAGAUGGCAGAACUAUUCGGAGGUGGAAGAAAGAGUUGAAAUUAAAGUAUGUCGACAAAGGGAGGACUCCAGAAUUCCUCGGCCGAUUUCAUCAAAAUAAGCAACCAACACAACAAAAACAGAAUCUGUUAACAGGAGACCAGUCUGUAGAAAACUGUAUGUUUCGUAUACCUCUGGUACUUCAAAAAUUCUGAACAACUACGACAGUCUGAAUAAUUUAUGUAGCAAUCAGCAGGAAAAAGAAUCAACUCAAAAGCUCUUACAAAAAAAAUGAAAAUUCAUUUCGUGAGGAGAAAGUUUAUGUCUUUCCCAGCAUGACCAAACGAUCAUCCUCAAGACUAAUCAUAACGGUUUUUCUUGGAACAAACGCAAAAAGAAACACAAAAAACACAAUCAUAACAGAAUUAUUAAAGUGUGAAAAACACAAAACAGAAAGAAAAAGGAUAGAUUCGUUGGGUUGCCUCCCAACAAUCGCUUUUGUUUAACGCCCUUAGCUAGGCGAAAGUGAUGGAAUCACGUAUAGUCAUCUUUGGUUCUCAAACCAUAGGUAGCUCUCAUCACAGAUUCAUAAGGCAAUCUUAUUUUCUUUCUAGGAAAGUGCUCCGUGCCCUUCUUUAAGGGAAAUUGAAAUCUAAUAUUCCCUUCCUUCAUAUCGAUGAUAGCACCAAUAGUCCUGAGGAAAAGUCUACCAAGAAUAAUGGGACUAGAAGGAUUGCGAUCUAUGUCAAGUACAAUGAAAUCCAUGGGUACAUAGUUCUUAUUUGCAACAAUAAGAACAUCAUUGAUCCUUCCCAUGGGUUUCUUGACAGUAGAAUCCGCAAGAUGCAAAUUAAGAGAAAGCUCUUCAAUCUCAUGAAAACCAAGAGUAUCACAUAAAGACUUUCGAAUCUCGGAAACACUAGCACCCAAAUCACACAAAGCAUUGCACUCAUAGUUUUUGAUCUUGAAUUUGAUAGUAGGUUCCCACUCAUCAUGAAGUUUUCUAGGUAUAGAGACUUCUAGUUCGAGCUUCUCUUCAAGAGAUAUCAUCAUAGCAUCUACGAUAUGCGCGGUAAAGGCUUUACUUUGGCUAUAAGCAUGUGGAGAGUUUGCAAUGGAUUGCAUCAAAGAAAUGCAUUCAAACAAGGAGCAAUUAUUAUAAUUGAAUUCCUUGAAAUCCAAAGUGGGAGUUUCAUUACUACCCAAAAUUUUGACUUCUUCUACUCCACUCUCCACACCAUUAUCAUCAAAAUAGGUGGACUCCGAAUCAUUGGGGCGUUUUUCAACCAAAGUGGAUACAUAUCGAGACCCUCCGUAAGUAGGUUUGACACACUAAAACAAAGAUUCAAGAGGAGACACGCCAAGCACUUUAAGAUCUUCGUGAUUUGCAUCACUAGAACGCACCCUUUUAAACCAUUCAUGUCUAGCGCAAAUUUGGGCGGUUCUUUUUUUCUCUCAUUCAUGGAGAUACGCAUAGCUUUGAAAGUUUCAUCCAAGUUGAUCUUGGGAGGAGCGCAUCUAACUUUCAAAGCAUCAAUAUCACAAGACAUUCUAUCAACGCUCUUAGCCAAAUCGUCUAUUUUGAGUAGUUUUUCCUCUAUGGACGCAUUGAAUAUCUUUUGAGAGUUGAUGAACUCCUUGAUAUUACUCUCUAGAUGAGAGGGUAAUUUGUUAUGAUUUCCAUAAGUGUUGCCGUAGGAAUUGCCAUAAUUGUUAGAGGAGUUACUAGGAAAAGGCCUAGGAACAUAGUUUCCUCUAAAAGCAUUGUUGUUGCCAAAAUUGUUCCUACCAACGAAAUUCACGUCAAAACUAGCGUUGCCACUCUCAAUCAAAGAAGAUAGUGGCAUGUCAUUAGGAUCUACGGUAGCGUUUCUACUAGCAACCAAAUUCAUCAACUCGUCCAUCUUAGCACUAAGCGAGUUAAUCUCUUCUAUAGCGUGCACCUUUUUGCCAGCAGGCGACCUUUCAGUGUGCCACUGAGAGUAGUUGGCCAUGAUAUUGUCUAAGAGUUUUGUAGCGUCUCCUAACGUGAUUUCCAUGAACGUUCCACCUGAGGCGGAGUCCAAGAUAUUGCGAAAAGCGAAAUUCAGGCCAGCAUAAAAUAUUUCUAUAAUCAUCCACAAACUCAAGCCAUGAGCAGGACAAUUUCUAAUCAUAAGCUUCAUCCUCUCCCAAGAUUGUGCAACGUGUUCAUGAUCAAGCUGCUUGAAAUUCAUGAUAUCGUUACGUAAGGAGAUGAUCUUAGCCGGCGGAAAAUACUUGGAUAUGUAAGCAUCUUUGCACCUAUCCCAAGAAUCGAUACUAUUUUUAGGCAAAGAAGAAAACCAAGUUUUUGCGUGAUCUCGCAAUGAGAAAGGAAUAAGUUUCAACUUAAUCCGGUCAUUAUCCACAUCUCUUUUGUUUUGCAUAUCACAGAGCACAAUGAAGGUAUUGAGAUGGGAUGUGGCAACUUCACUAGGAAGGCCAGUGAAUUGCUCUUUCAUAACAAGACUCGGCAAAGCUGCGUUGAUUUCAUACGAUUCCGCACUAGUGGCGGGAGCAAUCGUAGUACUAAUAAAAGGAUUAUUAUUAGUGCUCGAGAAGUCGCAAAGUUCGGUGUUUUCAGACAUGAUGUCUUCAACAGACAAACAAGCACACAAACAAGCAAGAAACCGACAAAGGAAAACAACAAGGGUGAAAGAAAACGGCAAAGGAGAAAGGCGAAUGAAAACAGCAAAUGUGAAGUGGGGGGGAGGAAAACGAGAGGUAACUGGCCACAAAAGUAAAUGCAAGAGAAGAGUUUGUGAGACCUACUUGCAUAGAUCUUGAUUUCUCCCCCCCGGCAACGGCGUCAGAAAUACUUCUGAUUGUUCUACUGUGUAUCCCUUGCAGCGGCGCCAGGAAGUAGUUGUGUCGACGGCACCAGGAAUCCUUCAGCUAUGGCUACGCCUUAAGGGACUCCCAAGGCAAGUAUGCAAAGGAUUCCCCCCAUGGCUUUGGAGCCUUGCGUUGGUGUUCCCUCGAAGCGGAAAGGGUGAUGUAGCACAGCGACGGUAAGUAUUUCCCCUAGUUUGAGAACCAAGGUAUCAAUCCGGUGGAAGAGUAUCUCAAGAUCCUGCACAAACACAAAAGCUUGCACCCACCGCUAUGAAGGGGUUGUCAAUCCCUUAUAGAUCGUUUGCCAAGUGAGAACUGAAAGCAACAAAGUAACAAAGCAAAGUAAAAGUGGAGUUGUAAAUAAUGGAUGUGAAUAGACCGAGGGGCCGUAGUGUUUACUAGUGGCUUCUCUCAUAAAAGCAAGUAGACGGUGGUCGAACAAAUUACUGUCGAGCAAUUGACAGAACUGUGUAGACUCGUGACGAUAUCUAUGCAGUGAUUAUUUCUGCAUCUACUACUAUUACUUUCGAAACAAGUAGACCGAUACAAGUAGACCGAUACUUUCUGCAUCUACUACUAUUACUCCACACGUCGACCGCUAUCUAGCAUGCAUCUAGUGUAUUUAGUCCAUAAGAACAGUGUAACGCCUUAAGCAAGAUGACAUGAUGUAGAGGGAUAAUCUCAAACCAAUGAUAAAAACCCCAUCUUUUUACCCUUGAUGGCAAACGCUUGAUGUGUGCCUUGCUGCCCCUACUGUCACUGGGAAAGGUCACCACAUGGCAGAACCCAAAACCAAGAACUUCUCUCAUUGCAAGAAUCAUAGAUCUAGUUGGCCAAACAAAACCCAAGACUCGGAGAGAUUUACAAGGCUAUCAAAUCAUGCAUAUAAGAAAUCAGCAAAGACUCAAAUAUAUAUUAUAGAUAAUCUGAUCACAAGUCCACAAUUCAUCAGAUCUCGAAAAACACACCGCCAAACAAGAUUACAUCAGAUAGAUCUCCAUGAAGAUCAUGGAGAACUUUGUAUUGAAGAUCCAAGAGAGAGAAGAAGCCAUCUAGCUACUAACUACGGACCCAUAGGUCUGAAGUGAACUACUCACGAGUCAUUGGAGGGGCGAUUAUGAUGAUGAAGAAGCCCUCCACCUCCAAAGUCCCCUCCAGCAGGGCGUCGGGAAGGGUCUCCAGAUGAGAUCUCGCGGAAACCGAAGCUUGCGGCGGUGGAAAAGUAUUUUAGAGGCUCCCCUGAUUUUUUGCGGAAUAUAUAGGCGCAAAACCUAGGUCUGGGGCGGCCAGGGUGGCCACAAGCUUGCCCACCGCCGCCUCCCCCCUGGUGGCGUGGUGGGAGCUUGUGGGCUCCCUGGGCCCACCUGGCUUGGCCCAAAGGCUCCCUGGUCUUCUUUCGUUCGGGAAAAACUCAUUUCGGGGUUUUUAUUCCAUUUGGACUCCGUUCCAAAAUCAGAUCUGAAAAUAGUCAAAAACACGGAAAAAAACAGGAACUCGCACUUGGCACUGAAUUAAUAAGUUAGACCCAAAAAAGAUAGAAAAAGGUACAUAAAACAUACAAAGAAGACAAGAGAACAACGUGAAAUUAGCAAAAAAUUAUAGAUAUGUUUGAGACGUAUCAAGGAGCAACUUGCAACACCCAUCAACAAGCUUCAGCAGUGUAUCACCGCAGCGCAGGAAGGGAUGUUCUUUCCCGAAAGAGAGAAGGACGAGCUAACUGAGGCCCUAGGUAAUGCUGAGCACCGUGGACGAACACGAGGCACACCAGGCUCCGUUCCGUGGAAGGUUGGGUUUUCCGACGCAGGCUGUUACAGAAGCCGAACAAGAAAGAGGAAAGUGGAGCUGAGCGACAUGCAGAAGAUCAAUGCAAGAGUACAAAUUCUAGAGGAACUAGAGAGCCAGCGAGGUGCCGACCAACCAUCUCAGCGGCACGAAACUAUCCCAGAAUUUACCCCGCCAUCUCAGCGAAGAAGCAGCGUGGCUUCCACUGAGCUCGUUCAGCCUGACUUCACCGCUCCUAGCUACCCUGUGGAUACUAUCACGGAGUCUCAACCUUGCGAGAUUUUGACGAAAUGCCGGAACCUCACUUUCAUGGCAGCUAUCGGCGUUGUUGCACAUCCUCAAUCCAGCGGAACUUUUCAUUGUUGUCUGAUUCCACGUGGCUAUGCUAUUGUGAUGGUGGAUGAAGUAAAGGAGGAUUUUGAGCAGCUCGAGCUUGACCACCCUACAGGUGAAAAUGAGAAUAAGCUGGUUCAUCCUUUGAGGAGUACAUGUCUAUCACCGAAGGAGUACAUCAAGCUUCCAAGCUGGACACCUCCUCCUCCUCCUCCUCCGGCGAGUGAUCACGGCAUGCCUCAUCCUCCUCCGGUGACUGAUCAGGGCACUCCUCAUCCUCCUCCGGCAAAUGAUCAGGGCACUCCGGCUCCUCCGAUGCAUGAGGGCAUUCCGCCUUCUUCUUCAGAUCCUCCUCCCGCGCGUGAGGCCACUCCGCCUCCUUCUUCGACUCCUCCUCCCGCGCGUCGGAGGAGUCUGCCUCCUUCUUCGGCUCCUCCUCUGUCGCGUCGGAGCAGUCCGCCUCCUUCUUCGACUCCUCCUCUGGCACGUCGGAGCCGUCCGCCUCCUUCUUUGACUCCUCCGGCGCGUUGGAGCACUCCGCCUCCUUCGUCGGCUCCUCCUCCGGCGCGUCGGAGCACUCCGCCUCCUUCUUCGGUUCCUUCUCCAGCGCGUCGGAGUAGUCCUCCUCCUCCGGCUUCUCCUCAGGCGCGUCAUAGCAGUCCUCCUCCUUCGGCUCCUCCUCAGGCGCGUCGGAGCAGUCCUCCUCCUCCGGCUCCUCCUCAGGCGCGUCGGAGCUGUUCGCCUCCUCCACAACGGCGAAAGACAGACAUCGUAGCCGCUCCGCCAAAAUUUACACAAGUAAGAAAGAUGCCGCCUCCUCCUCCUUAUCUUAAAAGGAAGACAGACUCCGUCGCCGCUCUGGCGGCUAGCAGUGAUGCAAUGUUAGCAAAAUGAAAAAGUGGGAAAACAUUUCCCCAGCUCGGUCAACAGACAUUCAUGCCACCCGCUCAAGGUGCCUAGCGAUAUCGUCGUCGCUAAUGAUUCGGUGUUGCUGUCCGGUACCAAUCCUGGUGAUUACGUGAACGAUUCGGUAAUUUUUGAAAUAGAUGAGGUAACAAAUGAAGAAACAUAUGAAUACGUGCUCGGGAAGCCUCUCGUCAAACCUGGUCAUCCUCCUCUAACACCGAGGAUGCACGAAUUGCAUGAGUGGUGUAUGAACAUCUUUAGGGAGACUACAAAAGACACUUUGUAUAUGAGAGUGAAAAAGAUCAUGAUUUCAUUGGAGCUACAAUGUAGCUUGUUCAAUUGGAGGAGUUAUUUCAGUUAUACAAUGAACUGGCCCUCGACAAACAACUCAUGACUUCCUACUGUUUGUAAGUAUUACUUCUAAAGUUAAGUAUCUAGCUCAGCUCCUUCAUUGCAUCUAUCUAUAAUUAUCCUCACUAUAUAUAUUAUACAGAUUGAACAUCGUCGAAUUAAAAAAAGCAGGAAUCUUUGAUGUUGGGUUCAUUAGCCCAGAAUCGGUAAAUGUAUUGUCGGUACGAAAUGAAACCAAAGAGACCGAGGUUAAGUUGCUCAAGUCGUUGCUUGCAAAACCAAUACAAAGGGGAAAUACUAUUUCCUUACAACUUCAAGUGAAUGAUGCUGUCUUUUCUGUAUACUUGGUUUCGCUUACUCGAGGUUAAGUAAAUGUAAUUGAUGAGUUAUAUAUGUGUGCGCAGCUACCACUUUAUUCUGCUAUCCAUUAAGCUUGACGUGGCAAAAGUAACUUUCUUAGACUCAAGACGUGAAGAUCCCCAGGAUUAUGCGGACAUGACUGCAAUGGUCAAGAAUUAAUUUCACUCAAUACCGGGACCAUACCGGCAUGCAACUUUCAUUAAUUUCCUGAUAUCAAGUAAUCAUUUUCUUUGCCUGGCAGGGUUUGGAAGAAGUUCACGAAUAAGGUUCACGGUACACCCAAAGAGUUGCAAUUUACGCACCCCCCAGUAAGUAGUACUAGCUAGUUCCGCGCAUCUCUAAUUGAUUCAAAUUUUCAUCAGUAUAUCAUUACCAUGCUUGCCUAUCAGUUUGAUUGAACUCUAUAUAUUCUCGUAAAGUGCUUGUACCAGGUAGUUGUGACUGAAAAAUGUGCAUACCACGUAUACGAGUUCAUUUGCCUCUCGACCUCUGAGCGGGGCAUCUCUCACGAACAAUUUGAAGUACGUAAAUAAUAUUCACAAUUUUAUUUUAUAUAUUACCAUCAAUUGUGUUGAGUUUUAUUCAUAUAUAUGCAUGUAUAGACCCCCUUCUUCAAAUUAGAUCUGGAAGAAGCGGGACGAACCUCUAUCAGAUGAUGACAUAUGAGCAAUUGAAGUGGAAUUGGCGAGAUUCUUUCUUGACCACGUCAUACCUAAAGAUGGAGAAUGCCAUGUGAGCUAUUUGUGAAUGGAUAUUAGGUAAAUAAUGUUAGGCAUUGUAAAAGAUGUUAAGUAUUGUAAAUGGUUUCAUUCAUUUAUUAACUGGCGUCGUGUUCUAUCUAUAUGUAUAGUAGCUAGCAUCGACCAAGAACGGAGAAAGAGAGGAGACUUCUCUCUAUUAGCUAGCUAACACAAUAUGAAACCAAUAAAUUAACCCUCCACCCCCCCUCCCCCCGCGUUCAAAAAAAACAAAAACCCCAGCUCCGGCCAGAUGCUGACGUGUGGAUGCCAUGUUGUCCCGGUUGGUCUGACCAACCGGGACUAAAGGCCCUCCUGCCCGGGCUCCCCGCAGCGGCCACGUGGAGACCAUUCGGUCCCGUUUCAUAAGAGAACCAGCACUAAAUGUUUUCAGCUUUAGUACUGACCAUUUAGUCCCGGUUCAAGAACCGGGGCUAAUGGGCUUCUGGAACCAGGGCAAAUGGGCCAUUUUCUACUAGUGUGUCACUCACACAAUAUCCCUUCAUAUCGCAAACACACAUAUUCCCAUUAUUGAAAUGCACAACUUUUUACUCACCUAUAUAUAUCCCGAGAGAGAUUGUGCACGGCUAAAUAAUGGAAUGGUAACAAUGGUGGAGAACUUAGAGAGAAGAAAUGAAAAAGGAGGGAAUAGGGCAAAGGGGGAGGAAGUGGGAUAGGGGUGUGUGUGUGGGUGAAAUGAGGGCAACAAUUGUCGAGGAAAGGAGAAAGGAGGGGAUAGGGGAAAGGGGGAGGGGAGAGGGCGUGUGUGUGGGCGAAAGGGAAACAAUGGUGGAGGAAAGGAGAAAGGAGGGGAUAGGGCAAAUGGGGGAGGAAGGGGGAGAGGGUGUGUGUGGGUGAUUGGUAGAAGAAAGAGAGAAGAAGGGCAAGAAUGGUGGAGAAGUAACAAUGAAGGAGUAAAUGAAAAAGGAGGGAAAAGGGGGAGGAAAGGGGAGAGGGGGGUGUGUGCGUAAAUGAAGCUGCCCACGUGUAGCAGGAGCGUUGGUUCCAGGGGAGCGCUACAGCUAUUGCACUUAGUAGUAGCACUUUUUACAGGCCAUCGCUACUACUACAAAUACUGUCGGUGGCCUCGUUGGGCCCCAUUUAGCAGUAGCGCUGGUUCCAAGGAAGUGCUACUGCAAUGGAACUUAGUAGUAGCGCAUUUUACAGUACAACGCUACUACUACAGAUACUGUGGGUGACCUCGUUGGGCCCCGUUUAGCAGUAGCGCUCGAACUGCAACCAGCGCUACUACUACGGUAGUUAGCAGUAGCGCGUCCUAUUUCCAUCGCUCCUACUAAGUAGCAUGAGCGUGUGCUAUUUUCCAAUGCUACUACUAGGAUCCUACUUAUAAGGUUUUUCCUACUAAUGGCCAUUUCACUUACUGUCAAAGAACAAGAGUCCAAAGCGGAAUAAACCUAGGAAGAAACGCACCCCUCCUCCCCUGCGAAAGUUGGCUUACGAGAAGACCAGAGAGGAAUUAGACGAGACACUGGCUGCUGAGUUGCGGGCCCAUAAAGACAAGAGAAAGUCUGUACAAAAGGAUAUAACACCUCUGGAAGAUGUCAAGCGCGUUCUGGCCAAUCUUGCGGACCCACCACCUCCAAAGAGAGUUAAAUCAGAAUAUGACCGCUCUAUUGCCAAAUCAUAUCAAAAAGGGCAAAUGAAUAUGGCACUCCUUAAUAGAAGAAGUAGGAAAAUCAUUCCCCAGCUGGGAGAACAUCUAGUGCAAUCGAUCAUGCCGCUCAAGGUGGGUACCAAUGAGUUCAUAGUCGAUCCCGAUGUUGCUCACAAGAUGGCUAUGAAGGCCGGUGUAACUAUUGCACAACUCCUAGGCAACAAGAGCAUUCCCGCCACGAUGGAAGGGAAUAAACAACUAGUAUGGACAUUUCAACCCAAGAAACUUCUCGUCAGUCCUGAGCUUGUCAAGCAGCUACCAACGAAAAUGUACAAAUUGCAUACCUGGUACAUGAAGCAAGCAGUACUCGGGCAUGAGGCCCUUAUGGUGAAAGUCAACCAAUUGCAUAUCUUCAAUUGCAAAGAUUUGUUGACUGAGAUGCUAGAAUUUUGGCAGUUACACAAUCAAGACGCACUCGACAAAUCUCUUGUCAGUUUCUAUUGUUUGUAAGUGAUUUCUUUCUGUAAUUCAAGUCUCUAGAUCAUCGGCUGUUCAUUUGCCUCUAAUUAUCCUCACUAUAUUCUUUCGUGUGUGUGGUGUUAUGCAGAAUGAAGAUGCUUGAAGUGAAAAGAGAUGGACUAUAUGGCAUUGGCUUCAUUGACCCAUAUACCAUUUUUGAAAAGGCGGUAGUAGAAUACCCAGAAGAGACAGAGGAGAACUUGUGUUGAUUUUUUGAGAUACUAAGUAACAAUGAAAAAAAUAUUAUUUUUUACAACUUCAAGUGAGUGUUACUGUUGUCUUGUACUAUAAAUUCUAUUUUGCUUACCCAAUUUAAGUUUACAUAUAGUUCUUGAUGCGGUGCAUGCAUGCCCGGUACGAAUGAUUGUCUUCCAGCCUGGUUUCGAUACAACUUUCUCUCUUGCAGAUGCGAAUUUCGCCUCUUAGUGUCAUUCAUUCAAAAGGUUCUCACAAUUGUAUAAGCACGUGGCAUAGUAGCAACUACAAAAAAAGGCCACCAGAAGGGGCACCAGAUAAUUAUAAUUCUUGUUCUAGUGUAUGCAUGAUACAGACUCUCCAUGGCAUAUACAUCAGAACAAUCUCAUAUAAAUCAAGGAAAAGAAAAUAAGCUGACAAAAGGAAUUGAAAAAACAGAUCGGAUACGGAGUAUCAUUGACGAUGGAAGAAAUGCCAAAGAAAACUACACUUGUUUAUUGGAGAAAUAAAAGAAAAAGGCUGGAUUGUACUUGUCCGUGAUUUACNNN
This 21559-nucleotide long non-coding RNA is filed under the name Hordeum vulgare. RNAcentral describes it as "long non-coding RNA (HVUL_LNC014989)". Lineage: Eukaryota; Viridiplantae; Streptophyta; Magnoliopsida; Poales; Poaceae. The record is from RNAcentral.